GCUUGUCUCAAAGAUUAAGCCAUGCAUGUCUAAGUAUAAACAACUUUAUACUGUAAAACUGCGAACGGCUCAUUAUAUCAGCAAUAAUUUAUUUGAUGGUUUCUUACCCCAUGGAUAACUGUGGUAAUUCUAGAGCUAAUACAUGCACUCGAGCCUCGACCGAGGCCCCGGCAACGGGGUCGCGGAAGAGGUGCUUUUAUUAGAUCAAAACCAGUCGGGGAAACGAUCGCCGGGUCAAACCGGUCGGUCGCGGAACCGUACCAAUUUUGGUGACUCUGGAUAACUUCACGCCGAUCGCACGGCCUUCGCGCCGGCGACGUAUCUUUCAAAUGUCUGCCUUAUCAACUGUCGAUGGUAGGUUACGCGCCUACCAUGGUUGCAACGGGUAACGGGGAAUCGGGGUUCGAUUCCGGAGAGGGAGCCUGAGAAACGGCUACCACAUCCAAGGAAGGCAGCAGG
Molecule: ribosomal RNA, 459 nt
Filed under: uncultured fungus
Lineage: Eukaryota; Fungi
Description: partial small subunit ribosomal RNA
Rfam family: Eukaryotic small subunit ribosomal RNA
Source: RNAcentral